RNAcentral lists this ribosomal RNA (505 nucleotides) under uncultured Glomeraceae. RNAcentral describes it as "SSU rRNA". It matches the Rfam family "Eukaryotic small subunit ribosomal RNA", at positions 569 to 1078 of the family's 1831-position model. Lineage: Eukaryota; Fungi; Glomeromycota; Glomeromycetes; Glomerales; Glomeraceae. The record is from RNAcentral.
AGCAGCCGCGGUAAUUCCAGCUCCAAUAGCGUAUAUUAAAGUUGUUGCAGUUAAAAAGCUCGUAGUUGAAUUUCGGGAUCAGACUGUCGGUCGUGCCUCGGUACGCACUGGCAUUAUUGGUUCCUACCUUCUGAAGAACCGCGAUGUCAUUAAUUUGGUGUCGCGGGGAAUCAGGACUGUUACUUUGAAAAAUUAGAGUGUUUAAAGCAGGCUUACGCUUGAAUACAUUAGCAUGGAAUAAUGAAAUAGGACGUUUGAUUCUAUUUUGUUGGUUUCUAGGAUCGACGUAAUGAUUAAUAGGGAUAGUUGGGGGCAUUAGUAUUCAAUUGUCAGAGGUGAAAUUCUUGGAUUUAUUGAAGACUAACUACUGCGAAAGCAUUUGCCAAGGAUGUUUUCAUUAAUCAAGAACGAAAGUUAGGGGAUCGAAGACGAUCAGAUACCGUCGUAGUCUUAACCAUAAACUAUGCCGACUAGGGAUCGGAUGAUGUUAAUUUUAUAAUGACCA